GACGAACGCUGGCGGCGUGCUUAACACAUGCAAGUCGAACGGAAAGGCCCUGCUUUUGUGGGGUGCUCGAGUGGCGAACGGGUGAGUAACACGUGAGUAACCUGCCCUUGACUUUGGGAUAACUUCAGGAAACUGGGGCUAAUACCGGAUAGGAGCUCCUGCUGCAUGGUGGGGGUUGGAAAGUUUCGGCGGUUGGGGAUGGACUCGCGGCUUAUCAGCUUGUUGGUGGGGUAGUGGCUUACCAAGGCUUUGACGGGUAGCCGGCCUGGGAGGGUGACCGGCCACAUGGGGACUACGAUACGGCCCAGACUCCUACGGUACGCAGCAGGCGGGAACAUUGCACAAUGGGGGGACGCCUGAUGCAGCAACGCCGCGUGCGGGAUGACGGGCUUCGGGUUGUAAACCGCUUUCGCCUGUGACGAAGCGUGAGUGACGGUAAUGGGUAAAGAAGCACCGGCUAACUACGUG
This 468-nucleotide ribosomal RNA is filed under the name uncultured bacterium. RNAcentral's name for it is "partial 16S ribosomal RNA". It matches the Rfam family "Bacterial small subunit ribosomal RNA", at positions 28 to 507 of the family's 1533-position model. The record is from RNAcentral.